RNAcentral lists this ribosomal RNA (847 nucleotides) under Torula sp. RNAcentral describes it as "partial large subunit ribosomal RNA". It matches the Rfam family "Eukaryotic large subunit ribosomal RNA", at positions 48 to 912 of the family's 3401-position model. The record is from RNAcentral. Lineage: Eukaryota; Fungi; Ascomycota; Dothideomycetes; Pleosporales; Torulaceae.
UAGCGGAGAAAAGAAACCAACAGGGAUUGCCCCAGUAACGGCGAGUGAAGCGGCAACAGCUCAAAUUUGAAAUCUGGCCCCCUCGGGGCCCGAGUUGUAAUUUGCAGAGGGAGCUUUUGGCGUCGGUCGUGGUCUAAGUUCCUUGGAACAGGACGUCACAGAGGGUGAGAAUCCCGUACGUGGCCGCCGGCCUUCGCCUUGUAAAGCCCCUUCGACGAGUCGAGUUGUUUGGGAAUGCAGCUCUAAAUGGGAGGUAAAUUCCUUCUAAAGCUAAAUACCCGCCAGAGACCGAUAGCGCACAAGUAGAGUGAUCGAAAGAUGAAAAGCACUUUGGAAAGAGAGUGAAAAAGCACGUGAAAUUGUUGAAAGGGAAGCGCUUGCGGCUAGACGUGCCCGCGGUUGAUCAUCCAGGCUCCGGCCUGGUGCACUCCUCCGCGGGCAGGCCAGCAUCAGUUCGGGCGGUCGGAUAAAGGCCUCUGUCACGUACCACCCCUCGGGGUGGCCUUAUAGGGGAGGCGCAACACGGCCAGCCCGGACUGAGGUUCCGCGCAUCUGCUAGGAUGCUGGCGUAAUAGCAGCAAGCGGCCCGUCUUGAAACACGGACCAAGGAGUCUAACAUCUAUGCGAGUGUUUGGGUGUCAAGCCCGAGCGCGCAAUGAAAGUGAACGGAGGUGGGAACCCUCACGGGUGCACCAUCGACCGAUCCUGAUGUCUUCGGAUGGAUUUGAGUAAGAGCAUAGCUGUUGGGACCCGAAAGAUGGUGAACUAUGCCUGAAUAGGGUGAAGCCAGAGGAAACUCUGGUGGAGGCUCGCAGCGGUUCUGACGUGCAAAUCGAUCGUCAAAUUU